UAAUUAACUUGGGGACUUGUGUUAUUUAA
Molecule: non-coding RNA, 29 nt
Filed under: Mus musculus (house mouse)
Lineage: Eukaryota; Metazoa; Chordata; Mammalia; Rodentia; Muridae
Also listed under: 1 other name
Source: RNAcentral